RNAcentral lists this ribosomal RNA (454 nucleotides) under uncultured bacterium. RNAcentral describes it as "bacterial SSU rRNA". It matches the Rfam family "Bacterial small subunit ribosomal RNA", at positions 340 to 786 of the family's 1533-position model. The record is from RNAcentral.
UACGGAAGGCAGCAGUGGGGAAUAUUGCACAAUGGGCGCAAGCCUGAUGCAGCCAUGCCGCGUGUAUGAAGAAGGCCUUCGGGUUGUAAAGUACUUUCAGCGGGGAGGAAGGCGAUGCGGUUAAUAACCGCGUCGAUUGACGUUACCCGCAGAAGAAGCACCGGCUAACUCCGUGCCAGCAGCCGCGGUAAUACGGAGGGUGCAAGCGUUAAUCGGAAUUACUGGGCGUAAAGCGCACGCAGGCGGUCUGUUAAGUCAGAUGUGAAAUCCCCGGGCUUAACCUGGGAACUGCAUUUUGAAACUGGCAGGCUUGAGUCUUGUAGAGGGGGUGAAUUCCAGGUGUAGCGGUGAAAUGCGUAGAGAUCUGGAGGAAUCCGGUGGCGAAGGCGGCCCCUGGGACAAGACUGACGCUCAGGGUGCGAAAGCGUGGGGAGCGAAACAGGGAUUAGAUACC